Molecule: long non-coding RNA, 1853 nt
Organism: Gadus morhua (Atlantic cod)
Lineage: Eukaryota; Metazoa; Chordata; Actinopteri; Gadiformes; Gadidae
Exons: 3
Source: RefSeq, a predicted model, not a curated record
GUAGCAUCGGGAUGUCUAAUUACUCAUGUUUUGGCGGUCUUUCCGUGUACACCCCCCUUCAGUCUGCACUACAUGGACUAUUCCAUGUUACGCGCAUCACGCUCAUCCCGCGUAUGCAGAAAUGAUUUAAAAUUCAAAACAGUAAAUAGCGGUAAGAGAGAGAGAAGAGAUAAAUCGAGUGAGAAAUGAAGCAAACCUACAAAAAGCGGGUCACAGAAAAAUAAGAAGAAAGGCAGGAGUUUAUUUCAAAACUGCUAAAGCUAUCAAGCUUUUUUACAGGCACUGCGGUAGCAGCGGAACAAGAGUAGCUGUCUACAUCGUUUGCUCUCACCGGUAAGUCAAGUUUUGACAGAAAGGGAGAGCGAGAGAGAGAGAGAGCGCACAGAUGAGGACAAACUGAGAGAGGAGACAAGCUCACAGAUGAGGACAAGAGGGAGAGAAAGAGGAGAAAAAACAAGCUCAGAGACAGGAGAAGCAAAGAAACAGUGAGACUGAAGAGGUGACACAAAUAGACCACAAUGCCCUGUCCGUCCCCCUGCUGUGACCUACUGAAAACCUAAGGCUACUCGCAGGUUUUUCCUCCCCUCUGCUUUCCAGCUGUAGUCUAAAUAACUCGGUGCCCGGCCCAAAAUGAUACCAGUCUACUUGCCUGAUUUGGGGUAGGUGACGAUUAAAACGUCAUCGUUCUUGAACUCAAACUCCGCCGCAAAUCUCAAACUCUCUUCCGUGUGCGUCUCUUUGGGCAGCAGCAGUCCACGAUGAAUGAUGUACUUGUCGGAACACGUCGUCGCCAUGUUGCCCUGCGGGUUUGAAGAUAGAGGUGUGGAACAAUCUGGCUUCGUGAAAGUUUUGGUGAUCACCUCCUGAGCUUGACUAUAUGCUUCCCAUUCUCGUAGUGGGCGGAGCACGAUGGACUAUCUUUUGGUUCAGAGACUCAACAUACACUUCAGGUGAUUCAAUGUUAGGAAUUCACCUGGAUUUAAGUUCGUAUUUAAUUCCAAGGGGGCGAAUAAGGAUUGAGCAAGUCAAUAUAAUUUCUGCUUAAGCGUUUCUCACUGUUGAUUCUGCUGAUGCUCUAUUACUGGUGCGUUUCUGGUUAUUGUAUUAAUGUUUUACUACUAAUGACUUUUUUAUUGUAGGUUUUAUUACUGAUCUUAUACGAGGUAGGGUGACCUUGAGUGCCAUGACAGGAGCCAUUCAAUAAAAUGUAUUGUUAUUAUAAUUAUUGAUAUUAUAAUUAUAAUUAUUAUUAUUAUUAUUAUUAUUAUUAUUAUUAUUAUCCAUCGUCACUUCAGUGUCAAACAUGUCUGUUCUAUUCAACCAUGUAAUUCGACCUUAUGGUUCAGACUGAUCAGUUUGUUUCCCUUUGUAGUGAUUUGGGGAUCUGUGAAUGCUCUUCAUGUUCUGAAAUGCAUGAAGGCAAUGUUGAAUGGUGUUAAACCUGUUUCUUUGCAUUUCAUAAUCCAGCAAUUCAGUGUGGAGAAAAUAGGGAACAAUGAGUUGUAAUGUUACUGCCCCCUCACAUACCAGAAAAGCCGUACUAUAAACUCAUAAACCUUUACAAAGAUCAUUCAUGGUUAAACCCAUGAAUGCACACAGCCUAUUUAGUAUUUAUGUUCCUUUGCUUGCCAUUUCUUUAACAUAUCUUAGGGUCAAUGUAUAAAACCACGUGUUUGUGUGUAUAUGUGGGUGGAUUAAGUAAUAGCCAUGGUGCCUUUGUAUUCCUUAAAUAAUAAGAGCUUUGUUUGAGUUGGAAAUGGCCAAAGCAGAGAGAAAGGCUGAGUGAGCAUGCCAGGGUGAAUGUGAGGGUGAGAGUAACUAAUGAAAAUGAAUAAAUGUCUGUUUGUCCUGUG